RNAcentral lists this ribosomal RNA (253 nucleotides) under uncultured bacterium. RNAcentral describes it as "partial 16S ribosomal RNA". It matches the Rfam family "Bacterial small subunit ribosomal RNA", at positions 524 to 776 of the family's 1533-position model. The record is from RNAcentral.
GACGAACCGAGCGAACGUUGUUCGGAAUCACUGGGCUUAAAGGGCGCGUAGGCCGGUAUUCAAGUCUAUGGUGAAAUCCGGCAGCUCAACUGUCGAAUUGCCGUGGAUACUGGGUAUCUCGAGGGAGGUAGGGGCGUGCGGAACUAAUGGUGGAGCGGUGAAAUGCGUUGAUAUCAUUAGGAACUCCGGUGGCGAAGGCGGCACGCUGGACCUCUUCUGACGCUGAGGCGCGAAAGCCAGGGGAGCAAACGGG